This 1053-nucleotide long non-coding RNA is filed under the name Parus major (Great Tit). Its description in RNAcentral is "lncRNA (ENSPMJG00000016464.1)". The record is from RNAcentral. Lineage: Eukaryota; Metazoa; Chordata; Aves; Passeriformes; Paridae.
ACUCAAUAAAAGCAUAGACAGAGAAGGCAGAAACUGCUGUGACUCCUGGGGCUGAAGGAUGAGCAAAGAAAGCCCUACCAGGAGGUGGUAGAAAAGCAAGGGUUAGCCAAGUACAUCUUUUAUUACUGCAUCAGGUGCAAGGAUCUAGCAGACCCCACAGGAAGGAGAGAGGAGCUGCUGCAGAAAUUUGGUUUCUACUGGGCUGCAAGUUCCCCUUGCUCACAAAAGCAGAUCAACAUAAUACCAGGUCUCUCUUCAAAGCAAUGAUGCAUUUCCUGGGAAGAUGGAACUGUUUGCUGAGACUCCAAGAAGUCUUGGAGAAGCUUUAAGAAGACUUUAAAGAUUGCCAUCCAGCUGUUCUACAUUUGAUGAGGUGUAUGUGACAAGGUGAUGGCACAGUGUGACGUGUCCUCAUGAGAUGAGUAAGGGAAGUCAUCAGGGCUCUGGCCAGUGAUGUGACAGAAAACUCAAGAAAUACAGCAAGAAGGUAAGCUCAUUUGUCUGGCUGCUGUCUCUUAGGGAAGAAUGAUGAGACUCAGGAUCUGAAGGUGGUUUGGUAAUUAGGAUAAACACUAUUAAGAAUUUGACCAGAAAACAAGACUUUAUCCAAUCCAAGACAGACAAGGACAGAGUCACCUUCUGGAGUCUCCAGGGAAAUGGUGCAUUAUGCCAAAAAUACAAAGACAUGACCUGUGUGGCAAGUCUGAUAAGGAAAUAGAUACACUACUAGGCCAGUACACCAGGAAGUGAUGGAUAAAAAUCCACAGAGCAAUCAAUCUGAGUUAAAACCAUUUGAAAAUGAGCCUCAAAUACCUUGCUUUCUGCAUCCAGACAUUUAGACUGAAUGUAAACUUCCAUCUGAAGGCUGAUGCUGUUGAGGAUCAGAUCCAUGCUUCAACAGCCAGCCUAAAAUGACAAGCUAUAAAGGAUUAGGGACACAACCAGGUGCUGCUUCGAGGAGUGACGAGUUUUCAGGUCUUGGGAUUCUGUUGGUAUAACAAAUUGAGUAUGUCACUCAAUAAAGGGAGUGAUUUUUUUGUUAAGGCUAAGUGU